GGGAGGCGGAGAGCCUCAGUCACGGCGUCGAGACCAGACAGGGAGGCGGGCUGCGGGUCAGCUGCCGCGGGUCCAGCGAGGUUCCAGUCUACCUGCGUCCCCCCCGCGCUCAGGGAGCGAAGCCACGAUGUUCGGGUCGUCACGAAGCAAAUUUGAGGAAGACCCCUUCUUCUCAGAUUCCUUUUCUUCCCACAAUGAAAAUAUGCGUCAAAUGAUGAAAAGUUUGGCUCAGCCUUUUGGACAACUCCUCAGCAUCGCCAAUAAUGGGAGAGGCCGUCGUGAUGAAGACGAGGAUGAUGAUAAACUUUCUUGUUCUGCCAGGAGUCAUGCCCUUGUUCCCUUUGGCAGUUGGGGUGGCCCUUCUUCCUUUGGAUCUUUUGGCAGUUGGGGUGCAAUGAACACAGAUGUCAGCCCUUUUCAGGCAAUGGACAGAAUGAUGUCAAAUAUGCGACACAAUAUGCAGGAUUUACAAAGACGUUUUAGCGACAUGUCAGUCGACCCAGAAGGGCACUCCUUCUGUGCUUCUUCCAUCAUGACCUACUCCAAAGUCGGCAAUGAGCCUCCAAAGGUUUUCCAAGCUUCCUCUCAGACGCGAAGAGCUCCCGGUGGGAUUAAGGAAACCAGGAAAUCCUUGAAAGAUUCUGACAGUGGGAUAGAGAAGAUGGCUGUGGGUCAUCACAUUUAUGAUCGUGCUCACGUUGUAAAAAGGCUGAAGAACAACAAAACUGGUGACCAGGAAUUGAACCAAGAGUUUAUCAAUAUGCGUGAAGCUGAUGCCCAUGACUUCAAUGACGAAUGGAGAAACCAGAUUCUGAAACUCAUUCAAGCAGGAAGGAAUAACCUGGAAAGCUCAAGAUUAAGAAAUGGUCACUCUGACAGUUCAGUGAACUAUGAAGAUAUUUCUAGAAGGCUGUAGACGUUGGGAGAAUUGCUGCAGAAGGUGGAAGGCUUCCCAGAACCAUCGUUGGACCCAGCGGAAGGCUACAAAGGAGAGACCUCGCCAAAGAUCAGCCAUCGAAAGCCCAAGAAGACCCAGGGCUUUUGAAGACAAUCUCCAUAUAAAGGGAUCAUCUGUCAAAUCCAACAAAAAAUAAAUUUCCGUGCAUUUGACUUGAGUUCUUAUUUGUUCGUUGUAACUGAACAAAGGGGAUGGUGCUGUUGAGUAUGCGACCGUGUUGGUUCCUCGUCACGAUUUGCCUUGCUUUACUCUGACUCUUCUUUAGAACCUCAUUGGCCUUGCUUUGUUACCCCUGCCCCAUUUUGACUGCCUAAGAAUCAGUGCCUGGCUCUCAGCAAUUAAGGGAAAUCAUUAAUGUGGAAGCACUUUUGUUAGCACAAAGGAAUGCAUCAUUUUAAAAGCUUUAAAGAUAUUAAAAUGAUCGUUUUGCUUUUCUGACUUUCCUGCGGCCACUUUUUAAGCAGGUUUGGCUAAUGUGUCUAGUUUUAUAGUCUCCAAAUAAAAUUUAUAUGAAAAUAAGAUCUUGUGAAAUAAAAUCUUUUCUUCAGUGGU
Molecule: RNA transcript, 1510 nt
Organism: Dromiciops gliroides (monito del monte)
Lineage: Eukaryota; Metazoa; Chordata; Mammalia; Microbiotheria; Microbiotheriidae
Gene: MLF1
Gene name: myeloid leukemia factor 1
Exons: 9
Source: RefSeq, a predicted model, not a curated record